Molecule: ribosomal RNA, 867 nt
Filed under: uncultured archaeon
Lineage: Archaea
Description: bacterial SSU rRNA
Rfam family: Archaeal small subunit ribosomal RNA
Source: RNAcentral
CUCCGGUGAUCCUGCCGGACCCGACUGCUAUCAGAGUGGGACUAAGCCAUGCGAGUCGACGUAGCAAUGCGUGGCGAACGGCUCAGUAACACGUAGUCAACAUGCCCAGGGGACGUGGAUAACCUCGGGAAACUGAGGAUAAACCACGAUAGGUCACGAUUUCUGGAAUGGAUCAUGGCCUAAAUCUACAUGGCCCCUGGAUUGGACUGCGGCCGAUCAGGCUGUUGGUGAGGUAAUGGCCCACCAAACCUAUAACCGGUACGGGCUCUGAGAGGAGAAGCCCGGAGAUGGGCACUGAGACAAGGGCCCAGGCCCUAUGGGGCGCAGCAGGCGCGAAACCUCUGCAAUAGGCGAAAGCCUGACAGGGUUACUCUGAGUGAUUUCCGCUAAGGGGAUCUUUUGGCACCUCUAAAAAUGGUGCAGAAUAAGGGGUGGGCAAGUCUGGUGUCAGCCGCCGCGGUAAUACCAGCACCCCGAGUGGUCGGGACGAUUAUUGGGCCUAAAGCAUCCGUAGCCGGUUCUGCAAGUCUUCCGUUAAAUCCAGCCGCUCAACGGAUGGGCCGCGGAGGAUACUACAGGACUAGGAGGCGGGAGAGGCAAGCGGUACUCAGUGGGUAGGGGUAAAAUCCUUUGAUCCAUUGAAGACCACCAGUGGCGAAGGCGGCUUGCCAGAACGCGCUCGACGGUGAGGGAUGAAAGCUGGGGGAGCAAACCGGAUUAGAUACCCGGGUAGUCCCAGCUGUAAACGAUGCAGACUCGGUGAUGGGCUAGCCUUGUGCCAGCCCAGUGCCGCAGGGAAGCCGUUAAGUCUGCCGCCUGGGGAGUACGGUCGCAAGACUGAAACUUAAAGGAAUUGGCGGGGGAGCA